GAUGAACGCUGGCGGCGUGCUUAACACAUGCAAGUCGAGCGGGCAAUUUAUCUAGCACUGAUUACUUCAAAUGGAAAUCAUAAGUGUAAUCAUGAAUUUCUACCUUUAAUAAAGAAAAAAGAAAUUCAUGUACGCAAAUAGUGAUAACACAUUUUAGUGAAGUGAUGAGUGCUGGAUAAAUUGCUAGCGGCGGACGGGUGCGUAACACGUGGGUAACCUGCCCCUAUCACUGGGAUAACACACUGAAAAGUGUGCUAAUACCAGAUAAUAUAAGCUUUUGGCAUCAUUAGCUUAUCAAAGAAUUUCGGAUAGGGAUGGGCCCGCGUCUGAUUAGCUAGUUGGUGAGGUAACGGCUCACCAAGGCAACGAUCAGUAGCCGACCUGAGAGGGUGAUCGGCCACACU
RNAcentral lists this ribosomal RNA (404 nucleotides) under uncultured bacterium. RNAcentral describes it as "bacterial SSU rRNA". It matches the Rfam family "Bacterial small subunit ribosomal RNA", at positions 28 to 314 of the family's 1533-position model. The record is from RNAcentral.